Small nucleolar RNA from Tupaia belangeri (northern tree shrew), 269 nucleotides. Lineage: Eukaryota; Metazoa; Chordata; Mammalia; Scandentia; Tupaiidae. The record is from Ensembl.
GGUCGAUGAUGAUUGGUAAAAGGUCUGAUUGCACUAAACGUCACAGUCCCCUCCUUGCCCUCGACUCCCAGCAGCCCACUUGGUGUCCUGGCACAUUAAGUCACGUGCAUGGGAUGGUGGUGCAGCUGAUAACUCGGGAACCUGUCAGCACGUGCUUCUGAGAGCUGUAGUUCACAGCUGACAGUGUCCGACAGAACCGCCCUCGAGGAGACUGGAGAGCGGCAGUCGGGGUGUGAUGGUGCAUGAUCUCAAGUUUUCAAUCUGAGACC